ACUCUGAGGAAGGGCAGAUUUGGAUCCAGAUGCAGACUUAACUUGGACCUAUGACCAGAUUCAUGAGAGUAUUAUUCAGCUAGCACCACGAAGGAAAAGGACAUGCUAUGAGACACAUAGAAGGAGAUAAAAAGGAAUCUAAGCACAGGUGUCCUGUGGUGUGAGCAUCCUCCUCCCUCUCCUGCCUCACCCGGGUCUUCAGAAAACAGCUUGGGAUCGGUCAUGGAAAGCUCACGCUAGCCCCGCAAGGUGCUGUGAUUGUCAAUGGGUGACUACAGCUGCUGAGAAAAGUCAGGAACCUGAUCAACAGCCCUGGGGGCUCAAGAAAG
Long non-coding RNA from Dermochelys coriacea (leatherback sea turtle), 329 nucleotides. RefSeq lists it as uncharacterized. Lineage: Eukaryota; Metazoa; Chordata; Testudines; Dermochelyidae. The transcript has 3 exons. The record is from RefSeq and is a predicted model, not a curated record.